RNAcentral lists this transfer RNA (70 nucleotides) under Neotoma lepida (desert woodrat). It matches the Rfam family "tRNA". Rfam says of the family: Transfer RNA (tRNA) molecules are approximately 80 nucleotides in length. Their secondary structure includes four short double-helical elements and three loops (D, anti-codon, and T loops). Further hydrogen bonds mediate the characteristic L-shaped molecular structure. tRNAs have two regions of fundamental functional importance: the anti-codon, which is responsible for specific mRNA codon recognition, and the 3' end, to which the tRNAs corresponding amino acid is attached (by aminoacyl-tRNA synthetases). tRNAs cope with the degeneracy of the genetic code in two manners: having more than one tRNA (with a specific anti-codon) for a particular amino acid; and 'wobble' base-pairing, i.e. permitting non-standard base-pairing at the 3rd anti-codon position. The record is from Rfam by way of RNAcentral. Lineage: Eukaryota; Metazoa; Chordata; Mammalia; Rodentia; Cricetidae.
GGGGAUGUAGCUCUGUUGGUAGAGUGCUUGCCUACCAUGCAGGAAGCACUGGGUUCAAUUCCCAGCACCA